RNAcentral lists this long non-coding RNA (1642 nucleotides) under Cyanistes caeruleus (blue tit). Its description in RNAcentral is "lncRNA (ENSCCEG00000014393.1)". The record is from RNAcentral. Lineage: Eukaryota; Metazoa; Chordata; Aves; Passeriformes; Paridae.
GAUGAAGUAAAAUAUUUACAAUCAGGGCAGUCAGAUGGGAGAACACUCAAGGGGUACAGCCAAGGCUGUGAGGUCACAGCAGGCUCUGGGGUUACACAGGUUGAGGUCACGGCAGGCUCUGAGGUCACAGAGGUGGCAGAGCCCCGUGGUUGCACAGCACCACAAGGACGGAGCAGUCAGUCCUUUACGACUGUUGCAGCAGCAGCGGCGGCUAUGGCAGCGGUGCUGACACUGGGACAGCGUUGUGAGGACAGUGGUGGCAGCAAGAGUUGGAGGACUGGCAGUGGGCAAGGCACCAUGGCCUUUGCUCUGCGCCUCUUCCUCCUGCUCCUCCUGGCAGUGGCCCUGCCUGACAGGGCUGCCCAGGCUGCUCCCUGGCGAGCACAGGGAGCAGAUUGGAAUCAUCACAUGGAUUACCUGGAAGUAAUGAAUGAUGGCUUGAAAUUCUUGGAGGAUGUUGGAGCCAAGCCUCUUGGUGAAGACAAUGUAGCUUCUCAUCCAACACCAAAUACUGAGGCUGUGGGAGAUGGUGAGGUUACAGGUGUGUCUGCAGGGAGGACUUUGCCAGCUCCUGGGAUGGUUACUCCACACAAGCCCAGCUCCCAGGGUAAGUGGUGUGUCAUGGCUGACCCCACAGACUGAGCACUGGUUUUGGGGGAUCCAAUCCUGGGAAAUGGAAAUAUUCUGUUCUAAGGUCCUCCAAGAGAGAAGACCCAAGAUACAGCAUUAAAGAAAACCCUGAAACGAUCUGAACAUAUAUGGCAAAUGCUGAAGGAAAUGCUGCAGGAGGACAAGGUCGGUCUGUGUCCCUCAGCUUUCUCCUGACACUCAGCAGCCGGGGGCUUUCUCUGCACAUCUGGACACGCCGUGCCCGGCACUGCAGGAAGGGAUCCAUGGCAGCCUCUCUGCCCCCUGCUACUUUCACGGCCUGCAGGGCUGUUUCCCAGCCUGGCCUGGCUGCAGCUUCUCCCCAGCCUCAGCAGGAAGGCAUUUGGCAUUGGCUGACAGGGAGCCCAAACUGCACCACAGGCCAUGCACACCCUGAGAUCCCCUGCAAUUUCUCAGUUGCUGAGUAGAUCAGGUCGAGGGGCUGUUUGGUGAAGGGACCAACCAGGGAUAAUCCUGAAAUCCUGGGUGUUUGCUGAUCCUCAUCCAUGCCUUUCACAAAUAUUGCCUCCUGAAGAUGGCACCUCCACAAUGAGGAACAGCCCCAUCUGAUCCAGCUGUCCCUCUUCCAUUCUCCAGAAAUGAAACGAGAGCCUGUGCAGCAGGAAACAAUUACUGAAGGAAUCAGUGACUCUGUGCCAGCCUCUGCUGCAGGAAGGGAGGCCAUGCCAGGCACAGUAACAAAAGGUAAUUGCUGUGCCUCUGGGCCUGAGCCCUGCUGAGGCUUGAGCUGCCAUCUCUGCUGCUUGGCAGUGCCUGCCCUUCAGGGAUGUUGCACAGAGCAUGGAAAGGGUGUUGAGAGUGACCAGGAGGCAGCCCAGAGCUCCCCUGGCCCCUCUGCAGCUUUGGCCAUGUCCACUGACACCUGGCUCCCACGGCCUUACCCAGCCCCAUUGCAGUGCCCAGUUCCCUAAGGCUGAAGGAUAUCUCAGCACACUCUGAAAAAGGUUCUCAUCUGUGCUCCCUUCCAGAUAAG